Molecule: long non-coding RNA, 1403 nt
Organism: Haliotis rufescens (red abalone)
Lineage: Eukaryota; Metazoa; Mollusca; Gastropoda; Lepetellida; Haliotidae
Exons: 4
Source: RefSeq, a predicted model, not a curated record
AGGAGACUUAAGUGUACAUUAUUAUAUCUUUUCGGAACUAUUCUCUGAUAGAGGAGCUGUAGGCAAGGCACUGUCAGGAAGGUAAUAAUAUUUACGUAUUUCCGGAAACAGAGCAGCCAUCUAUAAGGAGUGCGGCGGGAGAUACCUACAUUCGUGUGGUUCCUCAAACUGGGAUAUCUUCCAGAAAACAAGAUGUCUGGACUCCUUGUCCGCACCUGAUGACAAAAAUGAAUCGCCUAGUAACCUCCUUCAAUCUGCCUCAACUUUCAUCUGUCAACAACCAUCCAGAACUAGACUUCCACCAGUAGACAACCUGCUUCAACUUCCUUGAUGUUAAAGUCAACAAUGAUUUGAUUCGAACUGUUUUUCCUGGCCAACUAAGAGGCCAUAUGGGCCCAUAGUUCAACAUGUUUACAAGUUAUGCGUGUGUGUUUUGUAAGAAUGCAUGAUGCAUGUACAAUGCGAUAUUUUCAAUUGAGAAACAUUUGAGUUUGACAUGAGCAUGCAUGAGUAUUUGGAUAAGAUGUAAACGUCUUUGGAAUAUAUUUGUAUCUUAACUGAAGAUAGAGCUUACACACAAGAAUGAUAUUGAUUUUCUACAACAUUAAGAUUACAAUAUAUACAGUACAUAUGUUGUUAGACUCUUGAUAAAGGCCUUUAUACAUCAUUAAAUCAUAAUAACCUGCUCUGAAUUUAGCUAGCGAGCCUUUUUUAUUGUAACAUAAACUAUAUAUUCUGCGAGUAUUAAUUCAUGUUUGAAGAGAGAAUAGGUAUAUGUACAUUUGCUAUUUCUUAAUUUUUCUAUCCGAAUUUGCUGAAAACAAUCAUUAGCUCUUUGGAGUACCAAUGACAAACUUUUUGACAUUUCCAACACCCUGAUCCAUCCAUGUGUAUCCAAGCCCUAAACUGAAAAGGGUAAUUUUUUAUUGCGUGAGUGACUGGCCUAUUGAUCGAGGUAGACCAACAUGAUGUAGGCUUUACUGGGUAUCGCGUGGAUGGAAGAGUCGUUAGUUUUAACCAGAUAUUUAUACAGCGUUUAAGCGAAAAGAUAUACUGACACAUGCCCAAGUACAAUACCAUUUGGGAUGGAGGAUCGAACUUCAUUUAUGCAUUAAGACGAAUUAUUUAUAUACGACAAUAUUUUCCAUAAUCCUACACUCCAUAAAGUAAAAUUGACAUUAUAUUUAUAUAACAAAAAAUGAAAGUAUAAAUUACAGGGCAGAUUGUCAUAUUUUAACACAUUUUGCAGGAUUGACAUCAACAGAUGUUGAAUGUAGACAUUCAUUCCAACUCAAAGUCCUCGUAAACAAUAUUCCAAGGCGUGUUGGAAAGUGUUAAUGCUUACGUGAGAUCCACUCUUCCAGAAAGUAAAAAACCAGUGAUAGCACUAACGCAAUUCCCCG